Molecule: ribosomal RNA, 2923 nt
Filed under: Klebsiella pneumoniae
Lineage: Bacteria; Pseudomonadati; Pseudomonadota; Gammaproteobacteria; Enterobacterales; Enterobacteriaceae
Description: 23S ribosomal RNA
Rfam family: Bacterial large subunit ribosomal RNA
Source: RNAcentral
GGGUUGUGAGGUUAAGCGACUAAGCGUACACGGUGGAUGCCCUGGCAGUCAGAGGCGAUGAAGGACGUGCUAAUCUGCGAAAAGCGUCGGUAAGGUGAUAUGAACCGUUACAGCCGGCGAUGUCCGAAUGGGGAAACCCAGUGUGAUUCGUCACACUAUCGUUAACUGAAUACAUAGGUUAACGAGGCGAACCGGGGGAACUGAAACAUCUAAGUACCCCGAGGAAAAGAAAUCAACCGAGAUUCCCCCAGUAGCGGCGAGCGAACGGGGAGCAGCCCAGAGUCUGAAUCAGCUUGUGUGUUAGUGGAACGGUCUGGAAAGUCCGACGGUACAGGGUGAUAGUCCCGUACACCAAAAUGCACAGGCUGUGAACUCGAAGAGUAGGGCGGGACACGUGGUAUCCUGUCUGAAUAUGGGGGGACCAUCCUCCAAGGCUAAAUACUCCUGACUGACCGAUAGUGAACCAGUACCGUGAGGGAAAGGCGAAAAGAACCCCGGCGAGGGGAGUGAAAAAGAACCUGAAACCGUGUACGUACAAGCAGUGGGAGCACCUUCGGGUGUGACUGCGUACCUUUUGUAUAAUGGGUCAGCGACUUAUAUUCUGUAGCAAGGUUAACCGUAUAGGGGAGCCGCAGGGAAACCGAGUCUUAACUGGGCGUUAAGUUGCAGGGUAUAGACCCGAAACCCGGUGAUCUAGCCAUGGGCAGGUUGAAGGUUGGGUAACACUAACUGGAGGACCGAACCGACUAAUGUUGAAAAAUUAGCGGAUGACUUGUGGCUGGGGGUGAAAGGCCAAUCAAACCGGGAGAUAGCUGGUUCUCCCCGAAAGCUAUUUAGGUAGCGCCUCGUGAAUUCAUCUUCGGGGGUAGAGCACUGUUUCGGCUAGGGGGUCAUCCCGACUUACCAACCCGAUGCAAACUACGAAUACCGAAGAAUGUUAUCACGGGAGACACACGGCGGGUGCUAACGUCCGUCGUGAAGAGGGAAACAACCCAGACCGCCAGCUAAGGUCCCAAAGUCAUGGUUAAGUGGGAAACGAUGUGGGAAGGCACAGACAGCCAGGAUGUUGGCUUAGAAGCAGCCAUCAUUUAAAGAAAGCGUAAUAGCUCACUGGUCGAGUCGGCCUGCGCGGAAGAUGUAACGGGGCUAAACCAUGCACCGAAGCUGCGGCAGCGACACUAUGUGUUGUUGGGUAGGGGAGCGUUCUGUAAGCCUGCGAAGGUGACCUGUGAGGGUUGCUGGAGGUAUCAGAAGUGCGAAUGCUGACAUAAGUAACGAUAAAGCGGGUGAAAAGCCCGCUCGCCGGAAGACCAAGGGUUCCUGUCCAACGUUAAUCGGGGCAGGGUGAGUCGACCCCUAAGGCGAGGCCGAAAGGCGUAGUCGAUGGGAAACAGGUUAAUAUUCCUGUACUUGGUGUUACUGCGAAGGGGGGACGGAGAAGGCUAUGUUAGCCGGGCGACGGUUGUCCCGGUUUAAGCAUGUAGGCUGAUUAUCCAGGCAAAUCCGGAUAAUCAAGGCUGAGGUGUGAUGACGAGGCACUACGGUGCUGAAGUAACAAAUGCCCUGCUUCCAGGAAAAGCCUCUAAGCAUCAGGUAACAUCAAAUCGUACCCCAAACCGACACAGGUGGUCAGGUAGAGAAUACCAAGGCGCUUGAGAGAACUCGGGUGAAGGAACUAGGCAAAAUGGUGCCGUAACUUCGGGAGAAGGCACGCUGGUGUGUAGGUGAAGUCCCUGCGGAUGGAGCUGAGACCAGUCGAAGAUACCAGCUGGCUGCAACUGUUUAUUAAAAACACAGCACUGUGCAAACACGAAAGUGGACGUAUACGGUGUGACGCCUGCCCGGUGCCGGAAGGUUAAUUGAUGGGGUUAUCCGUAAGGAGAAGCUCUUGAUCGAAGCCCCGGUAAACGGCGGCCGUAACUAUAACGGUCCUAAGGUAGCGAAAUUCCUUGUCGGGUAAGUUCCGACCUGCACGAAUGGCGUAAUGAUGGCCAGGCUGUCUCCACCCGAGACUCAGUGAAAUUGAACUCGCUGUGAAGAUGCAGUGUACCCGCGGCAAGACGGAAAGACCCCGUGAACCUUUACUAUAGCUUGACACUGAACAUUGAGCCUUGAUGUGUAGGAUAGGUGGGAGGCUUUGAAGCGUGGACGCCAGUCUGCGUGGAGCCAACCUUGAAAUACCACCCUUUAAUGUUUGAUGUUCUAACGUUGGCCCCUGACCGGGGUUGCGGACAGUGUCUGGUGGGUAGUUUGACUGGGGCGGUCUCCUCCCAAAGCGUAACGGAGGAGCACGAAGGUUAGCUAAUCCUGGUCGGACAUCAGGAGGUUAGUGCAAUGGCAUAAGCUAGCUUGACUGCGAGCGUGACGGCGCGAGCAGGUGCGAAAGCAGGUCAUAGUGAUCCGGUGGUUCUGAAUGGAAGGGCCAUCGCUCAACGGAUAAAAGGUACUCCGGGGAUAACAGGCUGAUACCGCCCAAGAGUUCAUAUCGACGGCGGUGUUUGGCACCUCGAUGUCGGCUCAUCACAUCCUGGGGCUGAAGUAGGUCCCAAGGGUAUGGCUGUUCGCCAUUUAAAGUGGUACGCGAGCUGGGUUUAGAACGUCGUGAGACAGUUCGGUCCCUAUCUGCCGUGGGCGCUGGAGAAUUGAGGGGGGCUGCUCCUAGUACGAGAGGACCGGAGUGGACGCAUCACUGGUGUUCGGGUUGUCAUGCCAAUGGCACUGCCCGGUAGCUAAAUGCGGAAGAGAUAAGUGCUGAAAGCAUCUAAGCACGAAACUUGCCCCGAGAUGAGUUCUCCCUGAGACUUUAAGUCUCCUGAAGGAACGUUGAAGACGAUGACGUUGAUAGGCCGGGUGUGUAAGCGCAGCGAUGCGUUGAGCUAACCGGUACUAAUGAACCGUGAGGCUUAACCUUACAACGCCGAAG